Molecule: ribosomal RNA, 443 nt
Filed under: uncultured soil bacterium
Lineage: Bacteria
Description: bacterial SSU rRNA
Rfam family: Bacterial small subunit ribosomal RNA
Source: RNAcentral
AGAACGAACGCUGGCGGCAUGCCUAAUACAUGCAAGUCGAACGAACACUUCGGUGUUAGUGGCGCACGGGUGCGUAACGCGUGGGAAUCUGCCCUUGGGUUCGGAAUAACAGUUGGAAACGACUGCUAAUACCGGAUGAUAUCGAAAGAUCAAAGAUUUAUCGCCCAGGGAUGAGCCCGCGUAGGAUUAGCUAGUUGGUGAGGUAAAGGCUCACCAAGGCGACGAUCCUUAGCUGGUCUGAGAGGAUGAUCAGCCACACUGGGACUGAGACACGGCCCAGACUCCUACGGGAGGCAGCAGUAGGGAAUAUGGACAAUGGGCGCAAGCCUGAUCCAGCAAUGCCGCGUGAGUGAUGAAGGCCUUAGGGUUGUAAAGCUCUUACCCGAGAUGAUAAUGACAGUAUCGGAGAAUAAGCCCCGGCUAACUCCGUAGCCAGCAGCCGC